Trichonephila inaurata madagascariensis is the source of this 762-nucleotide non-coding RNA. The record is from the annotation of a GenBank genome assembly. Lineage: Eukaryota; Metazoa; Arthropoda; Arachnida; Araneae; Nephilidae.
GUUUUAUAGAUUAGACCCGAAACCAAGUGAUCUAGUCAUGACCAGAUUGAAGGUGUGGUAAAACACACUGGAGGAUCGAACCAGUUAAUGUUGCAACAUUAUUGGAUGAGUUGUGAUUAGGGGUGAAAGGCCAAUCAAACUUGGAAAUAGCUGGUUCUCCGCGAAAUCUAUUUAGGUAGAGCGUUGUAUGUAUGUUGUUGGGGGUAGAGCACUGGAUAGACUAGGGGGAUUCACCGUCUUACCAAAUCUAACUAAACUCCGAAUACCAACAAUUAGUUAUACAGCAGGCACACUACGGGUGCUAAGUCCGUGGUGGAAAGGGAAACAACCCAGAUCACUAUCUAAGGUCCCAAAAUUACAGCUAAGUGGGGAAGGAAGUAGAAAAACCAUUACAGCUAGGAGGUUGGCUUGGAAGCAGCCAUCCUUUAAAGAAAGCGUAACAGCUCACUUGUCUAAAUAAGUUUUUCUGCGCCGAAAAUGUACCGGGGCUAAAGCUGUAUACCGAAGAUGUGAGUGCUUAUUGGUUUCGAUUAAUAGGCGCGGUAGCGGAGCGUUCCGUAAGUCUGUGAAGGUGGUUUGUGAAAACUGCUGGAGAUAUCGGAAGUGAGAAUGCUGACAUAAGUAGCGUAAAAGAGUGUGAAAAACACUCUCACCAAAAAUCUAAGGGUUCCUACGUUAAGUUAAUCUGCGUAGGGUUAGUCGGUUCCUAAGGUGAGUCCGUAAAGGAGUAGUCGAUGGCAAUUAGGUUAAUAUUCCUAAACC